RNAcentral lists this ribosomal RNA (468 nucleotides) under uncultured bacterium. Its description in RNAcentral is "partial 16S ribosomal RNA". It matches the Rfam family "Bacterial small subunit ribosomal RNA", at positions 28 to 507 of the family's 1533-position model. The record is from RNAcentral.
GACGAACGCUGGCGGUGUGCUUAACACAUGCAAGUCGAACGGUAAGGCCCUUUCUGGGGUACACGAGUGGCGAACGGGUGAGUAACACGUGAGUAACCUGCCCUCAUCUCUGGGAUAACAGUCGGAAACGGUUGCUAAUACUGGAUAUGAGCUUGCAAGGCAUCUUGUGGGUUGGAAAGAUUUUUUUUGGUUGGGUAUGGAUUCGCGGCCUUUCAGCUUGUUUGUGGGGUAGUGGCUCACCAAGGCUUCGACGGGUAGCCGGCCUGAGAGGGCGACCGGCCACAUUGGGACUGAGAGACGGCCCAAACUCCUACGGGAGGCAGCAGUGGGGAAUAUUGCACAAUGGACGGAAGUCUGAGGCAGCAACGCCGCGUGCGGGAUGACGGCCUUCGGGUUGUAAAACGCUUUCAAUUGUGACGAAGCUUUUUUGUGACGGUAGCAGUAGAAGAAGCACCGGCUAACUACGUG